CCUACGGGAGGCAGCAGUGAGGAAUAUUGGUCAAUGGUCGGGAGACUGAACCAGCCAAGCCGCGUGAGGGAUGAAGGUACAGAGUAUCGUAAACCUCUUUUGUCAGGGAACAAAUGCGGGGACGUGUCCCCUGAUGAGUGUACCUGAAGAAAAAGCAUCGGCUAACUCCGUUCCAGCAGCCGCGGUAAUACGGAGGAUGCGAGCGUUAUCCGGAUUUAUUGGGUUUAAAGGGUGCGCAGGCUGUCUGUUAAGUCAGCGGUGAAAGCCCGUGGACCAACCCCGGCCCGCCGUUGAGACUAGCAGUCUAGAGUUGGAGAGAGGUAUGCGGAAUGCGAGGUGUAGCGGUGAAAUGCAUAGAUAUCGCGCAGAACUCCGAUUGCGAAGGCAGCAUGCCGGCUCCACACUGACGCUGAGGCACGAAAGCGUGGGUAUCGAACAGGAUUAGAUACCCCUGUAGUC
RNAcentral lists this ribosomal RNA (459 nucleotides) under uncultured bacterium. RNAcentral describes it as "partial 16S ribosomal RNA". It matches the Rfam family "Bacterial small subunit ribosomal RNA", at positions 338 to 795 of the family's 1533-position model. The record is from RNAcentral.